CUUACGAAUCGCAUGGCUUGCGCGGGAUGGUUCAUUCAAAUUUCUGCCCUAUCAACUUUCGAUGGUAGGAUAGUGGCCUACCAUGGUUUUGACGGGUAACGGGGAAUUAGGGUUCUAUUCCGGAGAGGGAGCCUGAGAAACGGUACCACAUCCAAGGAAGGCAGAGGCGCGCAAAUUACCCAAUCCCAAUACGGGGAGGUAGUGACAAUAAAUACUGAUACAGGGGCUCUUUGGGUCUUGUAAUUGGAAUGAGAACAUUUUAAAUCCCUUAACGAGGAACCAAAUUGGAGGGGGCAAAGUCUUGGUGCCAGCAAGCCGGGGGUAAAUUUCCAA
This 333-nucleotide ribosomal RNA is filed under the name uncultured fungus. RNAcentral describes it as "bacterial SSU rRNA". It matches the Rfam family "Eukaryotic small subunit ribosomal RNA", at positions 260 to 588 of the family's 1831-position model. The record is from RNAcentral. Lineage: Eukaryota; Fungi.